AAACUUCCAUUCUGACAUUAAGCUCCUUUUGCUCGUACCAUCCUAGGGUAUUUAAUCUUUUGGAUUUUUCUAAAUUUGGAAACUUUUGACUUUGAACUGGGACAAUUGGUGCAUUUGUAAGUUCAGAUUCUAAGGGAAACUGUUUGUUAAUAUGUUCUUGUUCUUUUUUGGUAGAUGGCAGCAAACUUUAAUGAGAGGUCAGGUGUAAAAGGGAACAUACCACUAGGAUGCUUUAACGCCAUGUUCAAUUAUACCGGUUCUUGGCAAGUAGAUGCAGCUUCCACAAAGUCUCUUGCACUUGUUGGCUACGUUAUUCCUCUUUAUGAAGUCAAACUGGCUAAGCU
RNAcentral lists this long non-coding RNA (344 nucleotides) under Brassica rapa (field mustard). RNAcentral describes it as "long non-coding RNA (BRAP_LNC005141)". The record is from RNAcentral. Lineage: Eukaryota; Viridiplantae; Streptophyta; Magnoliopsida; Brassicales; Brassicaceae.